Molecule: unclassified non-coding RNA, 192 nt
Filed under: uncultured Ascomycota
Lineage: Eukaryota; Fungi; Ascomycota
Description: sequence contains ITS1
Source: RNAcentral
CCGAGUCUUCGUGCUCAACCAACCCUUCUGUGGACCUGAAUAAAACCGUUGCCUCGGCUGGCGGCCCCACCUUGCGGGCCGGACAGCCCGGCCGUCUCUCAGGAGCGGCCGGCGCCAGCCGCUGGCCUCAAACCCAAAAAAAUCUCUAGUAACCUUCUAUCUUCUGAGUUUUAACGCAAGAAAUAAAAGUCA